RNAcentral lists this ribosomal RNA (460 nucleotides) under uncultured bacterium. Its description in RNAcentral is "partial 16S ribosomal RNA". It matches the Rfam family "Bacterial small subunit ribosomal RNA", at positions 338 to 795 of the family's 1533-position model. The record is from RNAcentral.
CCUACGGGGGGCUGCAGUGAGGAAUAUUGGUCAAUGGCCGAGAGUCUGAACCAGCCAAGUAGCGUGAAGGAAGACUGCCCUAUGGGUUGUAAACUUCUUUUAUAUGGGAAUAAAAUGUUCCACGUGUGGGUUUUUGUAUGUACCAUAUGAAUAAGCAUCGGCUAACUCCGUGCCAGCAGCCGCGGUAAUACGGAGGAUCCGAGCGUUAUCCGGAUUUAUUGGGUUUAAAGGGUGCGUAGGUGGAUUUUUAAGUCAGUUGUGAAAGUUUGCGGCUCAACCGUAAAAUUGCAGUUGAAACUGGCAGUCUUGAGUACAGUAGAGGUAGGCGGAAUUCGUGGUGUAGCGGUGAAAUGCUUAGAUAUCACGAAGAACUCCGAUUGCGAAGGCAGCUCACUGGACUGCAACUGACACUGAGGCACGAAAGUGUGGGUAUCAAACAGGAUUAGAUACCCGGGUAGUC